GUAGGUGAACCAGCGGAGGGAUCAUUACCGAGUUUACAACUCCCAAACCCCUGUGAACAUACCAUUUGUUGCCUCGGCGGUGCCUGCUUCGGCAGCCCGCCAGAGGACCCAAACCCUUGAUUUUAUACAGUAUCUUCUGAGUAAAUGAUUAAAUAAAUCAAAACUUUCAACAACGGAUCUCUUGGUUCUG
Molecule: unclassified non-coding RNA, 190 nt
Filed under: rhizosphere metagenome
Description: partial ribosomal RNA internal transcribed spacer region
Source: RNAcentral